Molecule: long non-coding RNA, 1685 nt
Filed under: Macaca fascicularis (crab-eating macaque)
Lineage: Eukaryota; Metazoa; Chordata; Mammalia; Primates; Cercopithecidae
Description: lncRNA (ENSMFAG00000049329.1)
Source: RNAcentral
GCCAGCCUUGUCGGGGCAGGCCUAUUGCUAUGUGCCAGUCACCUUGGAGACACAGCAAGAGCAGCUUCGUCUUGUGGCCUUUUCUUUAGUUCCUCAUUUUGAAAGCCACUUACACUUGAAUGUAUUAUUUAGUAUGGUGAAAAACGCAUCAGUCUUCCAGACUUCAGAGCUCUAACCGGUUUAAAAAGCUUUGGAAAUCUUUCUAAAACGAAAAUAACCUUGCCCUUAGAAGAGCAGUGUCUGGUGUUCAUAUCAGGAUUAUCAGCAGUGGGCCUGGAUGAGUAAGACAAUUAAAUGAACAGCUUUAUGAAGGUGGGUGGCAUGAUGCCCCUCACCUCCACCCAAGAAGCUUAAAAGGGCCACAUGUGUCAUAAACCAAUUAUCCCUCCCACCAUGCCUGAAAGAAGUACAAAAUUGCUAUAGCCAUAGCCUCAGAGGUCCUGUUAAAUCCUAGACACACAAUCACUGUGCAAAGAGAAAUAACUUGAUCCAGCUUCAAGAACAAAGACUAAACGACUUGAUCAGAUGCUCAAUUUCCUGACAAAUGGAAUAAACUGAUCAUGUUGAUUGAAUCAGAGAUUGCCAAUUCAGUUAGGUCAUUUAAACCAGACUUAGAGAAUUUAUGUAUUUCUUUUAACACUCCUUUUUAGCUAUAGACUUGAACCAGAAGUAGAAAGAAAGAAUGGUAUAGGGUGUCUCUGUAUUUUCAGUGUAGCUAAGCUUCAACUUUCUCAGAAUUCUUUUCUCUCUAUGGGUUUUGGCUAGGGCUGACUGCAAGAGAAAUUCGUGAAAAGAAUGGACUCCAGAAGUGAAUUGGAUUCUUGUUUACUUGGCAGGAGAGUGUAGUGUCAGAAGUGAAGUUCGUGUGUGUUGUGGAUAUGCGGGCUCACCUUAUUGGCUUCCGUCUUAUCUCUUCCUUCAGCUUUCCUACUCCCGGGCCAGCUCUUAGGACACUGAAAGACAGUGUCAGCUUCUGCUGAAAGUCAUUGGCCUUAUUGAAACUAGAGGCUUGAAAGCUGUGAAACCAACUCAGUUUCCAGUUUACCCUUACGGAUUCUAGUUUGUCCUUGUUCUCUCUCCGUUCACACCUAUCUUUCCUUCCCAAAUUCCUGCUCACCUCAAGCCUAGCACCAGAUGCAAAAGCAACAGCCAUACAUAAACUGCAUAACCAGCCCUCACAAUUAUACCAUGCCCAGUUCUUCUAAGAAAUCCCAUAUUCUAUCACAUGUCUGAUGGUUUACAUCUCUGACCAAAUUCCGAGUGACACAGGAGGUGUGCCAGGCCUGUGAUAGGCACAUUGCUAUAAAUUGCACAAUCUCCCUCACAAAAGCUUCAGUUUCAACUGAAUUGGAAGGAAAAACUACACAAAAAUGCCAACAGUCACAAAAGCCUCUGUGGCACCAAAUUCAAGCUUUAUGUUAUUAGGUUGUUACAGAUAUAAUUGUGGGUUUCACCAUUUAAAAGUAAUGGCAAAAACAGCAAUUACUUCUGCACCAAUCUAAUAUGUCCCCUGUGUCACAUAGCUUGAUGAAGUUUCCCCAGUCAAAGCACAUUAAACAUUGACAUUAGGAAAGUGAAGACUUCAGGGUAAAGAACUUAGAGCUAAGGGCCAGGCUAUAAUAGAGCUAGAAGGAAAUAAGUUGAUUAAACGGGCACAGAGUUUUAGUGGUAAGACUAAAUUCAGG